This 717-nucleotide ribosomal RNA is filed under the name Triticum aestivum (bread wheat). RNAcentral's name for it is "partial small subunit ribosomal RNA". Lineage: Eukaryota; Viridiplantae; Streptophyta; Magnoliopsida; Poales; Poaceae. The record is from RNAcentral.
AUGGUCAAGACGUUCGCCCUCGCCUCCCUCUUCUUCGCCGGCAGCCGUGUGGACGCCACCGCCGGGAGCCUGUCGUCUCCUCCGUCCAUAUCAGCUGCGUCCUCCCGCAGCAUGGCCGCCUCGUGGCAAUGGCCCUCCUGCGCGCAGGCCAGGACCGCGUCCUUCGACGGCCGCAGCAGCGUGGUGGCGGAGGCGGCGGCGUCGUCGGCGCGCCGGGACUGCUGCAGGACGACCCGCGUGAUCACGAACCCGGCCUACUGCGACGACGACACGGCCAACAUUUCUUUCCUCUCCGCCACGGGCUCGUCCUCGGCUUCCACCGCGGCGCCAGAGCCGGAGCUCUCGCGGGCACGCGAGGCCGAGGAGGCGGUCAUCCGCGGGGUCCGGGCGUCGAGCCGGCUCUUCUUCGAGCCCGAGGCGACGAAAUCCAUCGUGAUGACGAGCAAGCCGGUGGCGGAUCAGGCGGCGUUCCGCGGGGCGACGGCGCUGGCCAUCGACUCGGCGGACCCGUACGGUGACUUCCGGCGGUCCAUGGAGGAGAUGGUACUGAGCCGCGGCGGCGGCAGGGGCGACGACGACUGGGGGUGGCUGGAGGAGAUGCUGGGGUGGUACCUCCGCGCCAACGGCAAGAAGACCCAUGGCCUCAUCGUCUGCGCCUUCGUCGACCUGCUCGUCGGGCUCUCCGCAGUCAACAACAAGGACGGCGGCCGGUGCUAG